CCUACGGGAGGCAGCAGUAGGGAAUCUUUCACAAUGGGCGAAAGCCUGAUGGAGCAACGCCGCGUGCAGGAUGAAGGCCUUCGGGUUGUAAACUGCUUUUAUAAGCGAGAAAUAUGAUGGUAACUUAUGAAUAAGGAUCGGCUAACUACGUGCCAGCAGCCGCGGUCAUACGUAGGAUCCGAGCAUUAUCCGGAGUGACUGGGUGUAAAGAGUUUCGUAGGUGGCAUAAUAAGUAGCUAGGGAAAUCUGGUGGCUCAACCAUUCAGACUAUUAGCUAAACUGUUAAGCUCGAGACCGUUAGGGGUAACUGGAAUUUCUAGUGUAGGAGUGAAAUGCGUAGAUAUUAGAAAGAACACCAAUAGCGUAGGCAGGUUACUGGGACGGUUCUGACACUAAGGCACGAAAGCGUAGGGAGCAAACGGGAUUAGAUACCCCUGUAGUC
This 442-nucleotide ribosomal RNA is filed under the name uncultured bacterium. RNAcentral describes it as "partial 16S ribosomal RNA". It matches the Rfam family "Bacterial small subunit ribosomal RNA", at positions 338 to 795 of the family's 1533-position model. The record is from RNAcentral.